UACAGAGGGGGCAAGCGUUGUUCGGAAUUACUGGGCGUAAAGGGCGCGUAGGCGGCCUUCUAAGUCGAACGUGAAAUCCCCGGGCUCAACCCGGGAACUGCGUCCGAUACUGGAAGGCUUGAAUCCGGGAGAGGGAUGCGGAAUUCCAGGUGUAGCAGUGAAAUACGUAGAUAUCUGGAGGAACACCGGUGGCGAAGGCGGCAUCCUGGACCGGCAUUGACGCUGAUGCACGAAAGCUAGGGGAGCAAACAGG
This 253-nucleotide ribosomal RNA is filed under the name uncultured bacterium. RNAcentral's name for it is "partial 16S ribosomal RNA". It matches the Rfam family "Bacterial small subunit ribosomal RNA", at positions 524 to 776 of the family's 1533-position model. The record is from RNAcentral.